UACGUAGGGGGCAAGCGUUGUCCGGAAUCAUUGGGCGUAAAGAAGCGUGUAGGCGGUCCGGUCAGUCGGUUGUGAAAGUCAAGGGCUCAACCCUUGAAUGCCGGCCGAUACUGCCGGGCUAGAGUCCGGAAGAGGUGAGUGGAAUUCCUGGUGUAGCGGUGAAAUGCGCAGAUAUCAGGAGGAACACCGAUGGCGAAGGCAGCUCACUGGGACGGUACUGACGCUGAGGAGCGAAAGCGUGGGGAGCGAACAGG
This 254-nucleotide ribosomal RNA is filed under the name uncultured bacterium. Its description in RNAcentral is "partial 16S ribosomal RNA". It matches the Rfam family "Bacterial small subunit ribosomal RNA", at positions 524 to 776 of the family's 1533-position model. The record is from RNAcentral.